UACGUAGGGGGCAAGCGUUGUCCGGAUUUAUUGGGCGUAAAGAGCGUGUAGGCGGCCUGAAAGGUCAGCUGUGAAAACUCGAGGCUCAACCUCGAGACGUCGGUUGAAACCAUCUGGCUAGAGUCCGGAAGAGGAGAGUGGAAUUCCCGGUGUAGCGGUGAAAUGCGCAGAUAUCGGGAGGAACACCUGUGGCGAAAGCGGCUCACUGGACCACAACUGACGCUGAGGCGCGAAAGCUAGGGGAGCAAACAGG
Molecule: ribosomal RNA, 253 nt
Filed under: uncultured bacterium
Lineage: Bacteria
Description: partial 16S ribosomal RNA
Rfam family: Bacterial small subunit ribosomal RNA
Source: RNAcentral